AAAAAUGGUUUUCAUCAGAAAAUCUUGCUCUUUAACAAUUUGGAAAGCUGACAAAACAACAAUUUAUUGUUGUUUGUAAAGUUCUCAAUGUUUAUCGAAAGAUAAACACCAACAACACAUUCAAGUGUGCUUGGUAUCGAAUAAGACUUCGGUCUUAUUCAAAAUUUGAGUCCGGCAAAAUCUGUCUCGCACUCAUGUAAAUUAAACGCGAGACAACUUAGGUUGUUUAAACAACAACCCGAAACUC
This 247-nucleotide unclassified non-coding RNA is filed under the name Vibrio cholerae non-O1/non-O139. RNAcentral's name for it is "partial 16S-23S ribosomal RNA intergenic spacer region". Lineage: Bacteria; Pseudomonadati; Pseudomonadota; Gammaproteobacteria; Vibrionales; Vibrionaceae. The record is from RNAcentral.